RNAcentral lists this ribosomal RNA (538 nucleotides) under uncultured bacterium. RNAcentral describes it as "bacterial SSU rRNA". It matches the Rfam family "Bacterial small subunit ribosomal RNA", at positions 777 to 1316 of the family's 1533-position model. The record is from RNAcentral.
AAUAGAUACCCCGGUAGUCCACGCCCUAAACGAUGUCAACUAGCUGUUGGGGUUUAUUAACCUUAGUAGCGCAGCCAACGCGUGAAGUUGACCGCCUGGGGAGUACGGUCGCAAGAUUAAAACUCAAAGGAAUUGACGGGGACCCGCACAAGCGGUGGAUGAUGUGGAUUAAUUCGAUGCAACGCGAAAAACCUUACCUACCCUUGACAUGUCUGGAAUCCCGAAGAGAUUUGGGAGUGCUCGCAAGAGAACCGGAACACAGGUGCUGCAUGGCUGUCGUCAGCUCGUGUCGUGAGAUGUUGGGUUAAGUCCCGCAACGAGCGCAACCCUUGCCAUUAGUUGCUACAUUUAGUUGGGCACUCUAAUGGGACUGCCGGUGACAAACCGGAGGAAGGUGGGGAUGACGUCAAGUCCUCAUGGCCCUUAUGGGUAGGGCUUCACACGUCAUACAAUGGUCGGGACAGAGGGUUGCCAAGCCGCGAGGUGGAGCCAAUCUCAGAAACCCGAUCGUAGUCCGGAUCGCAGUCUGCAACUCGAC